RNAcentral lists this small RNA (1568 nucleotides) under Arabidopsis thaliana (thale cress). RNAcentral's name for it is "putative long intergenic non-coding RNA". Lineage: Eukaryota; Viridiplantae; Streptophyta; Magnoliopsida; Brassicales; Brassicaceae. The record is from RNAcentral.
UUUGAUCUUCUCAUUGGUAUUAUUUGUCUUUUCUCCAUUCAACUAGUGGUCUCUUGAGAAGCCUACAACUUUACAAUCGUAUCGACAGGAACCAAGUCCUUAUGCGCUUUGUUAUCAGUCUGUCCAAAUCUCACUGAUCUCAUGAUUGCUAAUUUGUAAGUUGUUUCGUGGAGCCUACAUGUAGCUUUUUAGUUUCAUGAAUUCUCAAUCUCAAUUCUACAACUUAACACUCUUUUUUUUGUUUCCAUUAUUUGAUGUUUCAAGUGACAGGAAAAAAAUUCUAGAGCAAGUACUAAAGACGCUCACUAAAAAUCCUCGCUUGAUAAUAGAACGUUUAAUCUUACAGAACAAUAUCGACUUAAUUCCUGCAUCAGGUAAACUUUUUCCACUGUGAAACUUUCCUCUCUACUUCCUCCCUGGUUGGCUCAAGCUCAACCAAUAUGUGACAGGUGUAUCUUCUUCAACCGUUGAGGCAUUUGUUACCUCCUGCCCCAGCUUAACUACGCUAAAGCUCGUAGGUUUUGGACUAAAGGAAGAAACAGUCAGAAAUCUUGCGGAGGUAUAGCUUCCUUUUAGUAUUUCUUUCUCUUUUACUUCACUUGGUACCACUAAAACAUUUAAAUGUUUUUGCAGGGUUUUCCUAAGCUUACAUACAUGAAUCUGACUAGAACGCCUGGAAUUAGUGGUCGGUUUUUGAGGUUUGUGGUGAACGAUCAAACAUUAAUUACAAUAUCUUAAGUAGUUUCUUAUUAUUCUUUAGCAAACUAUUGUGAUGCUCGAUCAGGGAUUUGAGAACUAUCGGCAGAGACAGUCCAAUCAAGACUCUAAUAUUGCGUGACUGUCAUUGUCUAGAUAGGGUAAGUAUAAAACACACUAAGUUUCAAUUUUGCAUCUUGUACUCCUAAUGUUUCUGAAAAUGUAUGUCGAUAUCCAGAGAGAAAUAGGGUAUUUUUUGGAUUCACUUCUCAAUGGACACUUCAAAUUCAUUCGACAUAUUGUAAGUUGAUAUGUUUUUUCUUUUCAACUAUGUGUAUGCUAGUCUUUUAUAUAUUUCACUACUUUUUUAAAAUUGUAUGACCCAAAAGUUACCUUGCUUUUAAACUUGAUUUGUUUUUGCAAAUGACCUCACUCACAAGUCAUAAUAUCUUCCUUGAUUUUCUCUAGUAGGACGUAACAAGUGAAGUUGCUGAUGGGGGUAGGGAAAUUAUCAUAGGAAAGUAAGUAGAUUGUUUUAGUUUCUUUUUUUUUUUUAUAUAUUGUACCAUUUAUAAUAACACAACUAUAUAUGCCUACUAAUGACACAAUUGUUUGUGUGUGCAUGUGUGUGUUUGGAUGUAGGUAUAUUAUAACGAAGCUGAAAGAACAAAGAUCAGAUGUCACAAUUGUAGCCAAAUCUGUUUGUUUUUAGCUAAAUCUAGAAACAUAAUAAUUUGUAUCAAAUUUAGUGGUUUUGGUUGUAAAUUCAGAUCAAAAGAUUUCUUGGGCAGAUUUUAACUUGCUUUUUUUUAACCCAUGGAAUGGGAUUGUCAUCAAGUGCGCGAUACUGUUCAAGAAAAACUUAUAACUAC